Molecule: ribosomal RNA, 492 nt
Filed under: uncultured bacterium
Lineage: Bacteria
Description: partial 16S ribosomal RNA
Rfam family: Bacterial small subunit ribosomal RNA
Source: RNAcentral
AGUGAACGCUGGCGGUAGGCCUAACACAUGCAAGUCGAACGGCAGCACAGUAAGAGCUUGCUCUUACGGGUGGCGAGUGGCGGACGGGUGAGGAAUACAUCGGAAUCUACUUUUUCGUGGGGGAUAACGUAGGGAAACUUACGCUAAUACCGCAUACGACCUACGGGUGAAAGCAGGGGAUCUUCGGACCUUGCGCGAUUGAAUGAGCCGAUGUCGGAUUAGCUAGUUGGCGGGGUAAAGGCCCACCAAGGCGACGAUCCGUAGCUGGUCUGAGAGGAUGACCAGCCACACUGGAACUGAGACACGGUCCAGACUCCUACGGGAGGCAGCAGUGGGGAAUAUUGGACAAUGGGUGCAAGCCUGAUCCAGCCAUACCGCGUGGGUGAAGAAGGCCUUCGGGUUGUAAAGCCCUUUUGUUGGGAAAGAAAAGCAGCAGGUUAAUACCCCGCUGUUCUGACGGUACCCAAAGAAUAAGCACCGGCUAACUUCGUG